Molecule: small RNA, 826 nt
Filed under: Pongo abelii (Sumatran orangutan)
Lineage: Eukaryota; Metazoa; Chordata; Mammalia; Primates; Hominidae
Description: retained intron
Source: RNAcentral
AUGCCCAUGGUGAACUAUUAAAAAGCAAACAGUUGGGGAGAUACUGUUGUACGUGAAUACUGACAUCAAAUAGGAUAAUCAUACUUACCCAAACUGCUUUCCCCUCCGCGGCAGAUAGUGCAUUCAUGAUUAGGUGAACCAGGGGUGUCACCCAGAGUGAUACUUUGUACAGGGAACAUUGCAGGACACUGCAGGGUGAGAGUGUGACAAGGAGGUGAGAUAAUGGAAGUCAGGCACAGAAUUGGGUGACAGGAGAGUUGAGUGGUCAGGCUGGGAUGGGUGUGGUGCUCAUGGUGUAGGUGAGAACUGAGCCUCAAGGAAACGAGCAGGCCGUGACAGGGAGAACUGCUGGGGCACAGGGGCCAGUAAGGGGACAGAGGAGCAUGCCUGCUGGGUCAGCUCAGUUGAUCUCUCUGGGAAGGUGGCUAUCCUUUUGCCUCUUCUCUCCCUAACACCCACUUCCUUCUCUAGCACCACAAAAAGUACCAGCACAUCCACCAGAAGUCUUUCUCCUGCCCAGAGCCAGCCUGUGGGAAGUCCUUCAACUUUAAGAAACACCUGAAGGAGCACAUGAAGCUGCACAGUGACACCCGGGACUACAUCUGUGAGUUCUGCGCCCGGUCUUUCCGCACUAGCAGCAACCUUGUCAUCCACAGACGUAUCCACACUGGAGAAAAACCCCUGCAGUGUGAGAUAUGCGGGUUUACCUGCCGCCAGAAGGCUUCCCUGAACUGGCACCAGCGCAAGCAUGCAGAGACGGUGGCUGCCUUGCGCUUCCCCUGUGAAUUCUGCGGCAAGCGCUUUGAGAAGCCAGACAGUGUUGCAG